Molecule: long non-coding RNA, 1811 nt
Organism: Sus scrofa (pig)
Lineage: Eukaryota; Metazoa; Chordata; Mammalia; Artiodactyla; Suidae
Source: RefSeq, a predicted model, not a curated record
GGUUACUAAGGAAGGAAAUGGCGUAACUAUGAUGCACAAGUUACCGGAUGUACGUUCGUCUUGUCUCAGUUCUGGCUCAGUGAGGGGAGCUUUUGGAUUGUUAAUUUAGGGAUUCUCAACCUCAGGCCUCUGAAUCAGAAACUCAACUCUGAGGAUAGGCUCAGCAACCUGUUUCAUGGAGCCCUCCAAGUAAUACCAAAGUCCGGGCAGGAGAACUUGCUUGUGCUUAAGCAUCUCAGGUACAAAGAUGAAGCAUUUCCAUUGUUGAAUGAUGCUCCAAAACUUUUUGGCACAGUUGGAGAUUGUUUAUACGAGCACAUCAAAUAGGGCAACUUUUAUAAAAAGAAAAGCCACUGGGGCAGAGUGAAGUAGAACCAAUUAAUCUGACAGUCAGUAGAAGAACCAAACUCAUGUAACUGAGACAAGAAAGUAACUACAAUUUAUGGAUAUAUGUGGCCAUUCAUCUUGUGGUUUAUUUAGAGAAAAUACUAAACACAGAGCCCAUGUUUAUUUAUUCUCAUUUUUGCUGUGUCUUCUAAAAAAGUGUCCUGGGAUAAAGUACUGUUUUCUGCCCUAUCUAAAGAAAACGAGUUUAACCAUAUUUCCUGUAUCCUUAUAAGGCAAACAAGUUGAUGUGAAUGUAAUAGCUGUUUCUAACAGUUUGUGAGUUGUGAGCCCAGAUUAAAUGAUCGUGGGCUUUCAUUUUUUUGUUUGUUUGUUUUGGUUGUAAUCGAUGUUCUGUGUGGUCUUACUCAGUUUUUCAUUUGCAUUGCUCUCAGAUUUCUAUUUUAUGAUCAAAAGAAGACACAUCAGCUUUCUUGACUGGUAGGUAAAACAGCACACUUGACUGCAACCUAAAGUUCUAGUGUGGAUUCUACCUCUCACUAGCUGGGAGAUCUUCAGCAGGGAGACCUUAUGGAUAUCAGCCUCCAUUUCUUUAUCUGUUUUUCUUUGCAGCAUAUGGAAGUUCCCAGGCUGGGGGUCAAAUCUGAGCUGUAGCCACCAACCUACAUAACCACAGCCAUAGCAACACUAGAUCCCAGCCACAUCCUCCACCUAUACUGCAGUUUGCGGCAGCACUGGAUCCUUUAACCCACUGAGCGAUGCCAGAGAUUGAACCCGCAUCCUUAUGGACUGUAGUCAAGUUUGUUUGCGCUGAGCCGCAAUGUGAACUCCCAUGUGAUUCUUAGUUUAUGGGAAGUCAAGAAAGUCGACAUCAGAUCUUCCUUGAUUAAUCCAGUCCAUAGAUAAUUACUCAGUCCUACCCCCAUCUCUCCUUCCUCUGAGCUGCUACUGAAGUAUAUCAGGCUAUACAGUCUAACUCAUAUUAGUCCUCUGAUGGUAAGCUCUAGGAAGGCAGGGUUCCACAUAUGAAAUUUCAUACCCUCCCUUCCCUCCCUGGCCCCACCCUGGCCAACUCCCAGAUCUAGGCCUUUGUUGUAGAAUCAAUUAAUAUAUGUUAGCUAAAGAAGGAAGCUCAGGGACUCUACAGCUGUCUAUUAAGAACUGAUUUUUUUUACGAUACAGAGAAAAAAAGGUCAUUUGGCAAGAAUUUCCUUUGAUAACUUCCCCCUCCAAUACAUACAUCUAAAAAUAUUUUAUGUUAAUUCACCCUUGAAAAGAUUGAAAAAAUAUGGCUAUAUUAAAAUGUAACUCAUGCAUACAACCAAAAACAUCAUUACAAAGUUAAAGAUAAACCCCAGACCACAGAAAAUAUUUACAGAAAGAAGUAGUAACCAGAAUUAAAAAAAAAAAAAAUCCAGCCCAUCCUUAAGAAAACAGAUAAAUAACCCAACAAAAAAGUGAAAACA